Molecule: transfer RNA, 86 nt
Filed under: Felis catus (domestic cat)
Lineage: Eukaryota; Metazoa; Chordata; Mammalia; Carnivora; Felidae
Rfam family: tRNA
About the family: Transfer RNA (tRNA) molecules are approximately 80 nucleotides in length. Their secondary structure includes four short double-helical elements and three loops (D, anti-codon, and T loops). Further hydrogen bonds mediate the characteristic L-shaped molecular structure. tRNAs have two regions of fundamental functional importance: the anti-codon, which is responsible for specific mRNA codon recognition, and the 3' end, to which the tRNAs corresponding amino acid is attached (by aminoacyl-tRNA synthetases). tRNAs cope with the degeneracy of the genetic code in two manners: having more than one tRNA (with a specific anti-codon) for a particular amino acid; and 'wobble' base-pairing, i.e. permitting non-standard base-pairing at the 3rd anti-codon position.
Source: Rfam by way of RNAcentral
GCCUGGGUGGCUCAGUCGGUUGAGUGUCUGACUUAGGCUCAGGUCACAAUCUCACAUGACCGUGAGUUCAAGCCCCGUGUCGGGCU